This 253-nucleotide ribosomal RNA is filed under the name uncultured bacterium. RNAcentral's name for it is "partial 16S ribosomal RNA". It matches the Rfam family "Bacterial small subunit ribosomal RNA", at positions 524 to 776 of the family's 1533-position model. The record is from RNAcentral.
GACAGAGGUGGCGAGCGUUGUUCGGAAUUAUUGGGCGUAAAGGGCGCGUAGGCGGUUGAAUAAGUCAGAUGUGAAAGCCCUUGGCUUAACCAAGGAAGUGCAUUUGAUACUAUUUGACUUGAGUAUGGGAGAGGGAAGUGGAAUUCCUGGUGUAGAGGUGAAAUUCGUAGAUAUCAGGAGGAACACAGGUGGCGAAAGCGACUUCCUGGACCAAUACUGACGCUGAGGCGCGAAGGCGUGGGGAGCAAACAGG